Molecule: RNA transcript, 3183 nt
Organism: Myxocyprinus asiaticus (Chinese sucker)
Lineage: Eukaryota; Metazoa; Chordata; Actinopteri; Cypriniformes; Catostomidae
Exons: 3
Source: RefSeq, a predicted model, not a curated record
GAUAGAUGUAGCCGCAGCUGCGCGUCUGUUAAUACCAGCACUCGACCCUCAACGUCCCCGCGCGCGCAAUUCUCCACACACAGUCACACUCGCGAACACACUGAGCUGCUCUCCUCAGCCAAAGCAUGAAGAUGCAAGUGGGGAUUUAGUUUCAGUGUCUUUUCCAGUCUAAAGCAGAUUAUUACCUUUCCUCAAGCACGCAGGACGGAUUUAAACACGAGAAACAAGCUUUGAGGUCCCCCUUCUCUACACGGAAUAUGAUGCAGAAUUCCCCAAUUCUUAGGGAAAUAAGUUGGAUAAGAAAACUCUCAGAUUUGUUGGCUGAUCAUCAAUGAACUCAGUUCCUUAAAGAACACAAGGAAAUACAUAAUUCAGUGAGGAAGUACUGAUAGUUGGGAGAUUUCAUUUUUGGAUAUGGCAGCAACUGAAGCUAAUGCAGAGCCUGUCCAAGCAGAUGUUGCUGAGACCAAACCUGAGGUAGAAACCACAAAUGCAGAGCCAGCCCCAGCUUCAGCUGAUGAAAUACAGCCUACCGCUGAGGAAACCCCAAGCACAGAGCCACCAGCUGAUAGCAAAUCCAAGCCAGCUUCUGAAAAAAUAUGGGACUCUUUUUUAAACAAAAGUGGGCUUGGAAAAGUAAUGGGAGGGAAGAAGAAGAAGGAGCAGCAUCUGGGAGCUGAGGAUACUACUGGCGAGGAUCAGGAUAAGGCCGCAAAUCAGAACGAUCAAGGGGAUACUGCAAGUCCUACAGACCAGGCAUCUAGUCAGCCAGCAGAAGCUGGCGAGGCUGCAGUUGAUGGCCAGAAUAUUGAAAAAGCAACAGAAAAUGAAGAGGCUUCCCAAGAGCAAAAGGAAUCUGGUGCCAAGCCAAAGCAAGGAGAGAAGUCUAGUGUUAGGGACUUCAUCCGCAAUCCUGUCGCUAAAAUUUUCUCACACAAAAGCACAGAGAAAAAGGUUAGGUCAAAAUCUCUAGACAGGCUGGAGGAUGCUGAUACCAGCACAGUUGUGGCAGAACAAACGGAUGAUCCUCAGACUGUAGACGAGCCAGACAAGCCUAACACUGAAAAAGCAAAACACAUGAAACGGUGGCAUUCUUUCAAAAAACUUAUGGCUCAAAAGAGUCACAAAAAAAGCACAGAUGAUUCCAAGGAUGCUGAAGGAGCAGAGGGAACUAGUGCCGAUGGAGCAGGAGAUUCUGGGACAUUGGAUUCCACCACAAAGUCAGAGCACACUGGGCAAAAAAAGUGGAAACUAAAGAGAUCAUGGACAUUUCAAGGUCUGAAGAGAGACUCAUCAGUUGUAGGAAUCCACAAACCAAAGGAUAAAGACUCUUCGGAUCUAAAAGAUGAAAAUGCCCCUGAGGCAGAACAGGGGACAGAAGAUGUCAAGGCAGCCAGUGAUGUAGAAACACAGGAGAAGACUAAUGCUGAGGGUGAGGAGGAGAAAGGAGCAAGUGCUUCCACACAGCAUGCAAAAUCUGUGGACCAGCAUGCAAAUGAGAUCUGGACCUCUUUCAAAAAACGAGUUAUUCCCAAAUCGAAGAGGGCAGCAGACAGUUGUGGAGCAGAGGAGGAACCAGUGGGUGAGCAAGAGCAGAUUGAUGAUCCACAGGCGGGUAAAGACUCAGUCAAGACAGCCAAGGCAAAAAGGACACACUUUGACCGUGCUAUGUCACUAAAGAACUUCAUACUGCGAAAGGGUAAGAGUACCAGCGUAGACAUGGAGGGUACAACAGCUCAGAAAGAGGGCGAUGGUACUGGUGAGAGCGAGGCUAAAGACAUGGACGGCCUUGACGAUACAGUUGGGGCAACUGAUUUGCCACAGACUGGAUCAGAGGAGCAGACUGUAUCUCAGAGUGAGAGCAAUAACGAAGCUCAGGUGGCAGGCGAGCACAAGAGUUCUGAUGGAGAGGAGAAGUCCCACACUAGCACACCAUCUGUUCAGCCAUUAGACAAGUCUCAUGCAGUCGAACCAGUGUCAGGUGGAUGCGAGACAGAGCCCAAAGCCAAUGGUGAGAAUGGAUGCUCGGAUGCUAUAUCAGAGGACACCACAGCACACAAUCAUGAGGCGACCACCCAAAAUGAUGUGAAGGAUGAGGAGACCAACCAGGAGAACAUAGACUCUAGUGGCAAAACUUGUCCAAAGGAAGGGAUGAUCCUCAAUCAAGACGGGAAGUGCGAUACUGUCAAUGCAGUUGCCCAAAGCGGUGAGUUUGCAGCCCCAAUUGACUCGAGAGAUCUCCAGCAAAAUGGAAAUGACAAAGCAGAUUGUAAAAUAGGACUAGGUACUAGUGUUGAGUUAGAGACUGGGGGGGGUGGGGCCCCUCUUUGUGGAAGGUCCCUUUCUGGGUCAGCAAAUACCACUACAGAUGACCAAGAGGAGGCCUUGAAGAGGAUGUUCUAUGAGGUUGCAUCUUCCAUCGUUCGUGCAGCUGUGUCCUCAGCCACUGAACAGUUAGCCAAGGAGAAGGACCUCCUGGACAGUAGUCUGAAAUGUUUUCAACCUGAAAACUAUAGCAGUUACUCAGAUAUUGAUGCCAGUUACUGCCAUAGACAAGUCACUUUGAAUCAGGGAAAUCUGUAUUGAUUCUUGAUGAUCCUGAGCACCUUCAUCUGUGGGAACAUGUUCUAGUGUUGUAGACACGUCAAAAGCCAUUGAAAAAAAGGCGGGAAACUUGUGAUGCCACACAGAGGAUUAGAUCUGCAUGGGAUUCGUUCAGCGAGGAGCUUUGCCCCCCUCCCCCAAAAAUAUGGAGUAAUCACAUGUUUACACCACGAUUCACCAUGGUGAGAGAUGCAAUCCACAUAGUUAAAAAAAAUCUCGAAAAGCAAUAAUUCUGAAUCAUCAAUCAAUGCAGUUCUUGCUACCAUUCCAUCAUUGUAAAUGUUUUGCCUGUCUACUAGUGAGAUUUUAUAUUGUCAUAAACAACAUUCCUUUGAAAUGUUAAUCUUCUUGAUCACAAAGUACUGUGAUCAUAAAGACUGUUAGUUUUAUAUUAAUUGCCAUUCUGUUUGUAGUUUCCCUUUGAAUUGAAAUAUCUAUGUAAUACAGACACAUUUGAAAUAACUGCCCGCCAGUCUGCCCCCCAAAUUGUGAAUUCAAUACGGAAUGUGCUCUAAUCUCUGUGUUUUUGUUUUUAGACUGUUUUCUUGUGAAUAUGAAUAAACCUCCAUUAAACAUCAA